AACUAGAAUUAGGAGGAACAAUUAUGAACAACUAAACUUCCUGAGCAUUUUGUGCAUCUAGUGAGGCGUUAAAGCUUAAAUACCAAUGCCCUUUAACAUCAAUUAUGAAACCUUGUUUUGUUUUAUUUUGAUGUUUACCUUGUUAAGUUAGUAAGAGCUGUUGGGCCAUUUUUUUCUAUAAAUAAAGAGACUGGUAUAGGACCAGCAUGCACUGGGGUGGGCCUUUUUUUUUUUUUUUUUUCAGAGCAGGAGAAACAGCAGGAAGUAACAAAAAAUGGAUCUUGUUAUUGCUUGCCAAACUGGAUGAAUAAACUAUAAAAACGCAACUUUCAAGUUUAGACAGUGGACUUCUUUUCCCUGCGUACAAAAUAGUAUCUCAGUGCAGCAGUGGCUUGUGGACUUUUAAUUGUGGGAUGUUUGGUUUGUCAAACAAAAGGAAUUGCCACUACACAAAGUAAAAAACCCGCCCCGUGGACCAAAGGAAUAAUCCUUAAUUAAUGGAUAUGUUGGAUAUAUGGAUUUCAGGGAUCACUGUUGAACUCGAACAAAAGUUACUGGAUCGUCUUUGUAAUAAUCCAGACGGAUUUGGUGCUUGAGGCCUGGAUCAACAUGUCAAUCGUUCAUCAAAACUGAUGAAUAAACUCACUUGCAUCUGAGCUGCCUGCUUAAAGGGUCCUUUUAGUGAUGGUGAGAUCAAGCCUUGUGAUGAACUGAAGCUUUCCAUCCAACCUGUCGACUCAUGGUUCGAAGCAUUGUGAUGAUUCAUUGGCUCUACUGCGCCAUCAAGUGGACGACUGAAGUCAAAUACGCUCAAUGAUUAUAAUGAGGUGAUGUGUAAAUCUUUAAACUUAAUAAAUAAAUUGUUUUCAUGGUUAUUUAUCCCGAAUAUUGUCUCAGUAUGUCUGAUACAAAAGAGAAAGUGGAAACUAUCAGGACAGUGUUUUGGUAUGAUUGUGAAACUGUGUAAUCAUGGUUAUGUACAUCUGGAUAAUGACACAAACUAGUGUGUGAUGCUUCACUUUUUAAUAAACUGAAAGACAAAUCAGA
Long non-coding RNA from Oreochromis aureus, 1047 nucleotides. RefSeq lists it as uncharacterized. The transcript is spliced from 2 exons. The record is from RefSeq and is a predicted model, not a curated record. Lineage: Eukaryota; Metazoa; Chordata; Actinopteri; Cichliformes; Cichlidae.